AGGCACAGCACCUUGGCUUCUUUAGCUCUGGUGAAGCAAGUUUGGCAUGUCUGCUGAAAAUUUCUGAGCCAAUAAAUCUAAUAGUAUCCAGAUACAGUGAGGGGAUUCAAGGAGACUCCUCAUACAUUAAGGUCUCCUGAUUGCAAUAUCACUAAUGACUCAUUGAAGCACCUGUAAUGAACUCACCCCACCUAUUUUUUCAAGGCAAUAGGAAUUACUUGAAGUCUCUGCUUGUCCAAGCCUCUUGUUUACAAGUACUAGAAUACCACCCAAGCCAGCUUUAAUAAAAAACAAACAAGAAGGAAACACUUUAAGAAUUUGUUUAUGGAGACCAUUGUAUGGAAUGCAAGUUGAUGGAUGCAGCUAGAAAAUGAGACUUAGGCACCCAAGAGGCCUCUGGAUCUUCUUUCUGCAGGUGAUAUGUUUCUGUUUUUAAGCUUAUGCGAUAUAAUGGAAGAUAGUCUCUCUACAUGAGUAAAUUUAAAUAUUUUAUUCUCAAAAUUAGUUCAGAUAGAGCUAGAAUUGUAGUACAAAUUCAAAGUAGAUAGCAUUUUCUUGGCCUAAGUUGAGUACAUUACCUGCUUUCUACUCUAAUCUUCUCCCACCCAAGUUGAUUUAACCAAAGGGACAUAUGGCAUAAACGUAGUUGCUAAAUAUUUGCACCUAUAGAUACAAAAUCUGUGAUCUAGGAAGCAUCAUAAAAAACUUCU
This is a non-coding RNA of Heterocephalus glaber (naked mole-rat), 710 nucleotides long. The record is from RefSeq and is a predicted model, not a curated record. Lineage: Eukaryota; Metazoa; Chordata; Mammalia; Rodentia; Bathyergidae.